AAUGAACGCUGGCGGCGCGCCUAAUACAUGCAAGUCGAGCGAGAAGACGUAGCAAUACGUUUGUAGAGCGGCGAACGGGUGAGGAAUACAUGGGUAACCUACCCUCGAGUGGGGAAUAACUAGCCGAAAGGUUAGCUAAUACCGCGUACGCUUCUUGGACUUCGGUUCAGGGGAGGAAAGCGAUGCCGAGGGUAUCGCGCUCUUGGAUGGGCUCAUGUCCUAUCAGCUGUUGGUGAGGUAACGGCUCACCAAGGCUUCGACGGGUAGCUGGUCUGAGAGGACGAUCAGCCACACUGGCACUGCGACACGGGGCCAGACUCCUACGGGAGGCAGCAGUAAGGAAUAUUGCGCAAUGGGCGAAAGCCUGACGCAGCGACGCCGC
RNAcentral lists this ribosomal RNA (382 nucleotides) under uncultured bacterium. RNAcentral's name for it is "bacterial SSU rRNA". It matches the Rfam family "Bacterial small subunit ribosomal RNA", at positions 29 to 400 of the family's 1533-position model. The record is from RNAcentral.